CGGAUGCCAUCAUACUAGCACUAAAGCACCGGAACCCAUCAGAACUCCGAAGUUAAGCGUGCUUGGGCGAGAGUAGUACUAGGAUUGGUGACCUCUUGGGAAGUCCUCGUGUUGCAUCCCUC
Molecule: ribosomal RNA, 122 nt
Filed under: Oryza sativa Indica Group (long-grained rice)
Lineage: Eukaryota; Viridiplantae; Streptophyta; Magnoliopsida; Poales; Poaceae
Source: RNAcentral